RNAcentral lists this ribosomal RNA (500 nucleotides) under uncultured Glomeromycotina. Its description in RNAcentral is "partial small subunit ribosomal RNA". It matches the Rfam family "Eukaryotic small subunit ribosomal RNA", at positions 591 to 1092 of the family's 1831-position model. Lineage: Eukaryota; Fungi; Glomeromycota. The record is from RNAcentral.
CCAAUAGCGUAUAUUAAAGUUGUUGCAGUUAAAAAGCUCGUAGUUGAAUUUCGGGAUCAAUAUGUCGGUCGUGCCUUCGGUACGUACUGGCAUCAUUGAUUUCUCCCUUCUGACGAACCACGAUGUCAUUAAUUUGGUGUCAUGGGGAAUCAGGACUGUUACUUUGAAAAAAUUAGAGUGUUUAAAGCAGGCUCACGCUUGAAUACAUUAGCAUGGAAUAAUGAAAUAGGACGUUUGACCCUAUUUUGUUGGUUUCUAGGAUCAACGUAAUGAUUAAUAGGGAUAGUUGGGGGCAUUAGUAUUCAAUUGUCAGAGGUGAAAUUCUUGGAUUUAUUGAAGACUAACUACUGCGAAAGCAUUUGCCAAGGAUGUUUUCAUUAAUCAAGAACGAAAGUUAGGGGAUCGAAGACGAUCAGAUACCGUCGUAGUCUUAACCAUAAACUAUGCCGACUAGGGAUCGGAUGAUGUUAAUUUUUUAAUGACUCAUUCGGCGCCUUGCG